This 520-nucleotide ribosomal RNA is filed under the name uncultured Glomus. RNAcentral's name for it is "SSU rRNA". It matches the Rfam family "Eukaryotic small subunit ribosomal RNA", at positions 569 to 1093 of the family's 1831-position model. Lineage: Eukaryota; Fungi; Glomeromycota; Glomeromycetes; Glomerales; Glomeraceae. The record is from RNAcentral.
AGCAGCCGCGGUAAUUCCAGCUCCAAUAGCGUAUAUUAAAGUUGUUGCAGUUAAAAAGCUCGUAGUUGAAUUUCGGGAUCAAUAUGUCUGUCGUGCCUUCGGUACGUACGGGUAUAAUUGGUUUCUACCUUCUGAUGAACCUUGAUGCCAUUAAUUUGGUGUCUUGGGGACUCAGGACUGUUACCUUGAAAAAAUUAGGGUGUUUAAAGCAGGCAUACGCUUGAAUACAUUAGCAUGGAAUAAUGAAAUAGGACGUUCGAUUCUAUUUUGUUGGUUUCUAGGAUCGACGUAAUGAUUAAUAGGGAUAGUUGGGGGCAUUAGUAUUCAAUUGUCAGAGGUGAAAUUCUUGGAUUUAUUGAAGGCUAACUACUGCGAAAACAUUUGCCAAGGAUGUUUUCAUUAAUCAAGAACGAAAGUUAGGGAUCGAAGACGAUCAGAUACCGUCGUAGUCUUAACCAUAAACUAUGCCGACUAGGGAUCGGAUGAUGUUAAUUUUUAUGACUCAUUCGGCGCCUUACGG